AGCAGGUUUGUAGCAAUACAGACGCUGGCGACCGGCAAACGGGUGCGGAACACGUACGCAACCUCCCUCUAACUGGAAGAUAGCCCACCGAAAGGUGGAUUAAUACUCCAUAAUAUAUUGAAGUGGCAUCACUUUAAUAUUAAAGCUCCGGCGGUAAGAGAUGGGCGUGCGUCUGAUUAGGUAGUUGGCGGGGUAACGGCCCACCAAGCCUGCGAUCAGUAGCUGAUGUGAGAGC
RNAcentral lists this ribosomal RNA (235 nucleotides) under Cylindrospermopsis raciborskii CS-506_C. Its description in RNAcentral is "partial 16S ribosomal RNA". It matches the Rfam family "Bacterial small subunit ribosomal RNA", at positions 68 to 299 of the family's 1533-position model. Lineage: Bacteria; Bacillati; Cyanobacteriota; Cyanophyceae; Nostocales; Aphanizomenonaceae. The record is from RNAcentral.